Molecule: long non-coding RNA, 1216 nt
Filed under: Gallus gallus (chicken)
Lineage: Eukaryota; Metazoa; Chordata; Aves; Galliformes; Phasianidae
Source: RNAcentral
CUUGUAAACACGCGGGGGUGGAAGUGGUGAAGGAGGGCUUGGAACAAGUUCCUCAGAACUGGUGCUCUGAGUUUCAACUGCAUUUUCCAGGCUGCCCAGCCAAUCCAGCAAGAUGGGGGGAAGCAAGCCGCAUUCCAAGUUUUAGCUCCGUUCAAUCUCCCCCAAAAUCUCUCUAGAACCAGUCCCGUUCCUCAGGCGCUUGCCGGCUGCCUGCAGCUCCUUGCACCGCGCGGACGGCUGAGUCCCGGGGUCGAAACAGCUCCGGUAGGACCUCUGGAUCCCCCUCAGCCAUGAAUAGAUCCUUCUGCCUCUGAACAGCUCACUUCCUACUACUUGUGUCACACAGAAUGAAAGAUUGAAUUGCCUAAUAUAUGCGAGUGAACUUUCUGUGAACCCUUCCCAGGCUGCUAACCUUCAAAUGACCCAGGCGUCUGACAUCACCAGCUCCCAGGAUUCUCACACGGCUUAAAAACUCCCAGCAGCCCGGCAGCGAGCAGGCAGCGGGCGGCGAGGGCGAGCGCGGCCCUCCCCAGGUCGCCCUGCUUUGUCGGGGCUGGCGAGAGUGAGCAGGGAGGCGAAGAAAAAAUAACAUUUAAAUUCAAAAAAUAAAAUAAAAUAAAAAUUAAAAAAAAAAAAAAAUCAGGAGGAGGAGAAUCAUGCCGGGAAUAGAAACAGGCCCUGCGCCGUCCGGGAGGCUGUUUGCACAGCGCCGCUUUAGGUGGUUGCUGUGAGCGGGGGUUUGCGCAUCUCAGCUCAAUUUGCUGAAACUUCUGUGCCCCCUCCCCGCUCCCUUCUCCCCCCGCCACAUUCCUUUGCUCCCCUGGAGAGUCCAUGAGCAACGCCCAGGCAUCCGCUGCUGCACCAGAGCCACAGCCGCAGGCAUCACCCCAGCAUCGGGGCAGCACAGAGCAGCCUCACCCUGAAGGGGCACCACCGCUCGGUGCCACCCACAAAGGGAUGGCUGGCACAGCCCUGCUCCUGGUGUGCCCAUCCCUGCCGUACGGGGCUCUGCAAGUCCCCAUCUCUCCUCACAAGCCCUUUUCUCACUCCUAAAACAGGCAGCUGUGUGUUACAACUGCAAAGGAGCCAGGCCACGCUGCUCAACGCUCCCAGGCUUGCCCACUGGGCUGGGGUGUGUCCCUGCGGCAUGCCCAUGUAGGCCCAGAACAGUGAGGCCACAGCCCAGCCGGGACCAGGAGGCAACUCCCUCCUCUCC